GAAGUUUUCAGAGAUGAGAAUGUGCCUUCGGGAACCGUGAGACAGGUGCUGCAUGGCUGUCGUCAGCUCGUGUUGUGAAAUGUUGGGUUAAGUCCCGCAACGAGCGCAACCCUUAUCCUUUGUUGCCAGCGGUCCGGCCGGGAACUCAAAGGAGACUGCCAGUGAUAAACUGGAGGAAGGUGGGGAUGACGUCAAGUCAUCAUGGCCCUUACGACCAGGGCUACACACGUGCUACAAUGGCGCAUACAAAGAGAAGCGACCUCGCGAGAGCAAGCGGACCUCAUAAAGUGCGUCGUAGUCCGGAUUGGAGUCUGCAACUCGACUCCAUGAAGUCGGAAUCGCUAGUAAUCGUGGAUCAGAAUGCCACGGUGAAUACGUUCCCGGGCCUUGUACACACC
This 398-nucleotide ribosomal RNA is filed under the name Escherichia coli. RNAcentral's name for it is "bacterial SSU rRNA". It matches the Rfam family "Bacterial small subunit ribosomal RNA", at positions 993 to 1391 of the family's 1533-position model. The record is from RNAcentral. RNAcentral also lists the same sequence under 1 other name. Lineage: Bacteria; Pseudomonadati; Pseudomonadota; Gammaproteobacteria; Enterobacterales; Enterobacteriaceae.